RNAcentral lists this ribosomal RNA (492 nucleotides) under uncultured bacterium. Its description in RNAcentral is "partial 16S ribosomal RNA". It matches the Rfam family "Bacterial small subunit ribosomal RNA", at positions 29 to 507 of the family's 1533-position model. The record is from RNAcentral.
AGUGAACGCUGGCGGUAGGCCUAACACAUGCAAGUCGAACGGCAGCACAGUAAGAGCUUGCUCUUACGGGUGGCGAGUGGCGGACGGGUGAGGAAUACAUCGGAAUCUACUUUUUCGUGGGGGAUAACGUAGGGAAACUUACGCUAAUACCGCGUACGACCUACGGGUGAAAGCAGGGGAUCUUCGGACCUUGCGCGAUUGAAUGAGCCGAUGUCGGAUUAGCUAGUUGGCGGGGUAAAGGCCCACCAAGGCGACGAUCCGUAGCUGGUCUGAGAGUAUGAUCAGCCACACUGGAACUGAGACACGGUCCAGACUCCUACGGGAGGCAGCAGUGGGGAAUAUUGGACAAUGGGCGCAAGCCUGAUCCAGCCAUACCGCGUGGGUGAAGAAGGCCUUCGGGUUGUAAAGCCCUUUUGUUGGGAAAGAAAAGCAGCAGGUUAAUACCCCGCUGUCCUGACGGUACCCAAAGAAUAAGCACCGGCUAACUUCGUG